This 5444-nucleotide long non-coding RNA is filed under the name Salvia miltiorrhiza (redroot sage). RNAcentral's name for it is "long non-coding RNA (SMIL_LNC008503)". Lineage: Eukaryota; Viridiplantae; Streptophyta; Magnoliopsida; Lamiales; Lamiaceae. The record is from RNAcentral.
UUGGAUGAGUGAACCCUUGUUAAUUAUCUUCUUAUUAUAUUAAAGCAUAAUAAAUUAAAAUUGAAGAAAAUAUAAUUAAAAAUUAUAAUAAAUUAAGAGUGAUACACGGUCGUACACACUAAAUUGUGGAACAGAGGAUCCUAUGUGAUUCUCAACUUGUAAUCGACAAUUGUCGAGUAUUAGUGUAUUUUCUAAGAAUCUUGGAAGAAAAUGGUGGCUGUGAGCCUGUGAGUAUCUCUAAAUUCAAAAUCCCACUUUUAAUUAAAUACCCGAUUGCUUCGACAAUUUAAUUUACUACGUUUGGCUCAAAAGAAUACCAUACAAGGUGAUCAAAAUUCUAGUUUUAGCUAUAUAUUACGCCAUGUUCGAUUACAAUUAUAAUCUUCCAAAUAAGAAAUUUCGACCUGUCUAUGAAUAUUCAUCGGUUCAAUGGAAAAAUCGAGAAUCGGAAUAUAGGAAAAAUCUUGGGCUUCUCAAACUCAAUGAUUGCUCAAGCAAUAGAUUGAGCCGAAACAUUCCAAAAUAAUUUUUAAUUCAGUAAGCUUUGGAUUAAUUUCCUUAAACCUAUAACAUCAAAAUCAAAUGAUACUCCCUUCGUUCCAUUACAAAUGUCUCACUUUUCAUAAUGGGAUGUAUGUAAUACCCGAUAAUAUUUUAUGAUUAAAUGUUAUUAUAUUUUUUAGAUGUUGUUCAUUUGGUAAACAAAUUUUAAAUAAAUAAGUUAUCAGUAUAUCGUAUGAUCGUAUCGAAUUUUGUCAAUUUCGAUAUAUCAGUUACUUUGAUAUACCGUGAAAGUAUGGUAUACUGUGAAAGUAAGUAUACCGCGAGUUAUACCAAACAAAGGACGGUAAGGUAUAAUACGUAUUAGUGCAUUCUCCGUACCGUAAUUAAGGUAUAACAAAUUGAGGUAUACCGUAGGUAAAUAUAAGGUAUAAUGUAUGAAGAAUUUAGUAAGGUAUACCGUACCGUUCCACCCCAAUUGUCACUAUCAAUUGCUAAUUUUGAAUAAUUCAUAAUGGAAUCAAAGAAGAUUAGGUAACCAAUUUAACAUUUUAAUUAAUAACAGAAAAUCUUUAAGCUCUAGGUUUAAUUGUUUUCAAGUGUUUUCGUCUUUUUAUUAAUUGAUGAGAAAUAUAUCCUCAUGAAUUAACUUUUAGUCCAUUUUGUCAUUUUCUCAUUAAUUGUGACCCAAUGUUUACGGCAUAUUAUCAUGACUCGUCAUUUUAUGACUUGGUCACACUUCACUUACUAGUUUGUUUCUAUGUUGGAAAAUUAUCAGGUCAUUUAAAACCACAAUUUCUACAUUAAUUUAUCAUGAAUUAUCUUCAAACAAUUUCUAUAUAUAUAUAUUUUUUUGCGAUGAUGACUUGGUCACACUUCACUUCACUAGUUUGUUUCUAUAUAAGUAGGAAAAUUAUUAGGUCAUUUAAAACCACAUGAAUUUCUACAUUAACUUAUCAUGAAUUAUCUUCAAACAAUUUCUAUAUUAUUUUUUGCGAUGAUACCUUAGUCACGCUUCACUUUCUUGUUUUGUUUUUCAAGUUGACUUGCAAGUAAUCCAAGCAAGUCAUUGAGUUUGAAAGUGACAUUUUGCAAUGUGAGGGAAAGAGGUAUGUUUUGUCCUAUUUAAACCAUCCAACUUGAGACUAUGAAGUAUCCCACAAACAUAUAUCUCUUUCUCUUCCACACAUCAAAAUAUACAGAAAGGAUGAUUUCUGAUAAAGGAAUAUCAAUCAAAUUUCUUCUUUUUCUUCUACUUUGUGUCUCUGUUUCAGGAGAAGUGAGAUGCAUUGAAAGGGAGAGAGAAGCUCUUCUAAGCUUCAAGAAUGGCCUCAUCGAUGACUAUGGCGUUCUCUCGUCAUGGCGAAGUGACGAAUGCUGCAAAUGGUAUGGUGUUGAGUGCAGUAACACCACAGGCCAUGUCAUAGCUCUUCAUCUUGAUGGCUAUUAUAAAGGUGCAUUGCGAGGUAAGGUUGGUUCUUCCUUGCUCGAGUUGCAUCAUUUAAACUAUCUUGACCUCAGUUACAAUGAUUUUGGAGGCUAUUCAAUCCCAGAAUUCAUAGGUUCCAUGAAACAGUUACAAUAUCUGUAUCUCAUGUAUUCUCACUUUUCUGGGAUCAUUCCUCCUCAGAUUGGUAACCUUACUAACUUGCGGUUACUCGGUCUCAGUUGGAAUGAUUUUGGAGGCAAUCCAAUCCCGGAAUUCGUUUAUUCCAUGAAACAAUUACAACACUUGUAUCUCAAGUAUGCUAACUUUUCUGGGAUCAUUCCUCCUCAGAUUGGUAACCUUACCAACCUACUCUCACUUGAUCUCUCAUUCAACUCUUUGACGACUGAGAAUCUCGUUUGGCUUUCGAAUCUCUCUUCGUUGUCUUAUCUUCAUUUGAGUCAAAUCGACUUAAGUCACCCCAACUCGCUGCAACAUAUCUCAAGUCUUCAUUUCCUAUAUGAAUUGCACUUGUAUUCUUGUGGCCUCAAGGGGACUGAACCUUCUNNNNNNNNNNNNNNNNNNNNNNNNNNNNNNNNNNNNNNNNNNNNNNNNNNNNNNNNNNNNNNNNNNNNNNNNNNNNNNNNNNNNNNNNNNNNNNNNNGACUUAAGUCACACCAACUGGCUGCUGCACAUCCCAAGUCUUCGUUCCCUAAAUGAAUUGUACUUGAAUUCCUGUAACCUCACUUCUUCCUCAUCUUUUCUUAAUUCUUCUUCCAAAUCUCAUCUUUCUAUCCUUGGUGUGUCUGAUAAUAACCUCACUUCUUCCUCGUUCGAUUGGUUAUCAAACAUAACUACAAGUCUAGUGGAAAUAGACCUGUCACACAAUGCUUUAGGUGGCCCAAUUCCUAAUGCAUUUUUAGAGAGUUUGGUUCUUAUUGAGUAUCUUGAUCUUUCCAAUAACAUGCUUCAAGGCCAUAUCCCAAAAUCUUUGUCCAAUCUCAGUCGUCUGCGCGUCUUAGUCCUUUACGAAAAUGACUUAGGAGGAGAACUUGAUGAGCUGUUUGGAAAUAUAUCUGCCAAAGGAAUGUUGGAAUCACUCCAAAUUCUGGAUUUGGCUGAUAAUAAACUCAAUGGUUCAGUGCCAGACUUGAGAGCAUUUUCUGCAUUGACAGAAGUGUACUUUGGGGGAAACAACUUCACAGGCUCCAUUCCUCAAAGUAUUGGCCAACUCUCCGAGCUUCAAGUUCUAGAUCUUUCUAAUAAUUCUUUCAAAGGCGUAGUCUCUGAAUCGCACUUCAUCAAGCUCGACAAGUUGAAGAUACUAGAUUUAUCCUUCAAUUCAAUGAUCUUGAAUGUUGCCCCGGAUUGGAGUCCUCCUUUUCAGUUGGAGCGUAUGUUUUUAGGAGGAUGCAAUGUGGGCCCGUCUUUCCCAAAAUGGAUCCAAACUCAGAGGAAUUUGUUAGGCCUUGAUCUCUCUAGAGCUGGCAUAAGAGAUGAAGUCCCAACAUGGCUGUGGACUAUAUUCCCUUCAUUAGACUGCAUUUAUCUAUUUGAUAAUCAAAUUACUGGUUCUGUUCCUGAUCUCUCAUUCACUUCCAUCAGAUUCUUGUUUCUUAAUAACAAUAAUUUCUCAGGUCCUUUUCCAUUAUUUUAUGCCAAUGCUGAAAUUGUUCAGUUGAAUGGAAAUAAGUUCUCUAGGUUCAAUUUCAAGUAUUAGCAAAAUUCCCCAAUAUCGUCAGCUUCUUAGCCUUGACCUCUCCCGUAAUCAGUUGGCCGGAGAGAUUCCCGACUGCUGGGAGAAAAUGCCAUACUUAAGCUUUCUCAAUUUGGCCGACAACAAUUUUUCGGGUGAAAUUCCUCGCUCUUUCGGCUCUUUGCUUGAAUUCAGUGCACUGCAGUUGCGUGGUAAUAAUUUAUCUGGAGAGUUGCCUUCCACUUUGAGACUUUGCCAAAAAUUGCAGUUACUUGAUGUUGGAGGGAAUAAGUUAAGAGAAGAGAUCCCCACUUGGAUUGGCGAGUUGUAUAAUAUGGAAAUCCUAAACCUUCGCGGGAAUAAAUUUCAUGGCAGUAUUCCUUCUCAGAUAUGCAAGCUCACUGAUAUUCGAAUUCUGGACUUGUCGAGAAACAAUUUGUCUGGGAAGAUACCCGAUUGCUUCAACAAUUUUACUGCAUUGGCUCAAAUGAAUACCACACAAUUUGAUCCAUAUUAUCGUAUUGGCUUUUACUCCAUGUUCCAAUACAGUGAUCAUCUUCCAAAUAUAAAAAUUCGACCUGUCUAUGAAUAUUCGUCAGUUCAGUGGAAAGGUCAAGAAUUGGAAUAUAGGAAAAAUCUCAAGCUUCUCAAACUUAUUGAUCUUUCAAGCAAUAGGUUGACUGGAAACAUUCCCAAAUCAUUUUCCAGCAUGCUUGCAUUAAUUUCCAUGAACCUAUCAAGGAAUAGUUUGACAGGAAAUAUAAUUGGAGAUAUUGGUGAGAUGGAGAUGUUAGAAUGUGUUGAUUUAUCACACAACCAAUUCACCGGUGAAUUGCCCACAAGCUUGGCACAAUUACAGUACUUGGCCGUUCUCGACUUGUCGAACAACCACUUAUUUGGUAAAAUUCCAACAAGUACUCAACUUCAGAGCUUCAACGCAUCUGCUUAUGCCGAGAAUGACAGACUCUGUGGGCACCCUCUGCCGGCAUUGUGCCCUGAAGAUAGCUUGAAGCCAUCCACCACUAAUCCGAAUGAGAAAGACGACGACAACCUCUCUUUUAUGCAAGAAGUCUGCAUAUCAUUGGGCUUUGGUUUUAUAUUUGGAUUUUGGGGAGUUGUUGGUACUUUCAUAGUGAAGAAAUCAUGGAGAAUUGCAUACUUCAAUUUCUGGGAUGAUGUUGGAGAUUGGUUCUACGUGAAGAUUGGUGUGUUUGUGUCCAAAUGGAGACGGAGCUGAAAUACUGGUAAUAAACUAACAUCAAUAUAUAUUGUCUUCUACCAUUCUUAAUUUUCUCAAGCUAUUAUUUAAUCUUUAUUUCUUUCUGAAUAGAGGAGGACAAGCUCAUGCAUACAAGAGGAAAUUAAGGAGGAAGAUGUAUUGCUAGUAAUUAUAGUCCUAUUAUGUGUUUUUUAAUACUUCAAUUAUGUCAUUGUUCAUCAUGUUUGGUGAUUAUGUAAUAUUGGAGUAUGUACUUAUUAUUGUCAAAUUAAGUGUUUUUCCUACUUUUUAAUUUAUCAUUGUUUGUCAUGUAUAUUAUGCAGUGAUGUUAUAUUGUAUAUAUGUUGUAUGUGUGAUAGGGGCUAAGCUGCAAAGCGAUGAAAAGUCUGAGGACUAACUUGCAAACAAUGUUCAGGAGUUGGUUGAAAUAAGUUGCAGCCAUUUUCUGUAAUUAUUUUUCAGCUGCGUAGUAUAUAUAUAGGUCGUGGAAGUUCAUUUUUCGAUCUGUAUUGGAAUUUCUUUAAUUUGCUGAUCAAUAAAUCUCCUCCGAUUGACUCUCCCGUGGAUGUAGGCGAAAGCCGAACCACGUAAAUUAUGUGUUC